Molecule: signal recognition particle RNA, 97 nt
Filed under: Solimonas aquatica
Lineage: Bacteria; Pseudomonadati; Pseudomonadota; Gammaproteobacteria; Nevskiales; Nevskiaceae
Description: Solimonas sp. NAA16 Bacterial small signal recognition particle RNA
Rfam family: Bacterial small signal recognition particle RNA
About the family: The signal recognition particle (SRP) is a universally conserved ribonucleoprotein involved in the co-translational targeting of proteins to membranes.
Source: Rfam by way of RNAcentral
GUGUCGGCCCUCCGCGACGUGAAGCCGUGAACCCCGCCAGGCCCGGAAGGGAGCAACGGUAGCGGUACUAGCGGGUGCCGGAGUCAGCUGAUACGGG